UCAAAGCCGUCUGGAGAGCCAUCGCCCCGCGCGAUGCACCGAAGGAGCAAGUCCGCUGCGGGCGCAGCGGAUGAAUCUCUCAGGUACCGAGGACAGGGGGAGCGGC
This 106-nucleotide non-coding RNA is filed under the name Variovorax sp. JS1663. Its description in RNAcentral is "Glycine riboswitch aptamer". It matches the Rfam family "Glycine riboswitch aptamer". Rfam says of the family: This family represents the bacterial glycine riboswitch. Glycine riboswitches usually consist of two metabolite-binding aptamers domains with similar structures in tandem. RNAcentral also lists the same sequence under 1 other name. The record is from Rfam by way of RNAcentral. Lineage: Bacteria; Pseudomonadati; Pseudomonadota; Betaproteobacteria; Burkholderiales; Comamonadaceae.